Drosophila sulfurigaster albostrigata is the source of this 2012-nucleotide long non-coding RNA. RefSeq lists it as uncharacterized. Lineage: Eukaryota; Metazoa; Arthropoda; Insecta; Diptera; Drosophilidae. The transcript is spliced from 2 exons. The record is from RefSeq and is a predicted model, not a curated record.
UCCAAGCUAAACUUAAGUGCUUGGUCUCCCAUAGUCGAUGGAUUGCUUUGCGACGUUUCUUCUACGAUAGUUUUAGGAAAUGUUUGAAUGAAUGUAGCUUCAAGGAGUUAUAACAUCAAUUUAUUAGAUAACCAUUUUGAUAACUUGGAAAUGUCAGCUAAAUUAAUUGCGUACACACCUUUUCCACACAGUUUCCAGUUUAGCACAGAGCAGGAAAAUAUCUUUUUUAUGCCUCAAAAAUCUGUCGAAAUCAAUCAAGGCCACACACACACACACGCUCGCACACCUCAUGACACAUUUCGUUGGAAAACGAUUGUAGGGUAAAACAAAAACAAAAACAAAAAACGAAAUAUAAAAAAAAAACUACAGCAGCUACAACAACAAGUCGAAGAUGUGGGAAAAACAGACUGCAACACACAAAAUGGGAGUCAAUUUAUAAAAGUCGCCCCGAAACUGGACAACAAAUAAAUAACAACAACUGCAACGCUAUGAGUAUGAGUGUGCGUGUGUGUGUGCGUGUGUUUGUCGGCGCUUUUUACUCCUUUUUUGGUUGUCAACGUUAAUUAAUCAAUCAUUGUACGCACGUUGGCGGUGCAUUAAUCAUUUUACAGAGUUGCCGCAAAACUUAAAAUUUCAAUUUUCAACUUGGAAUUAAGUAUCAUCAUUCAAUCAUUGCUCAAUCCCGCUGAUGGGCUCAUCCUUUUCACCGAUGAUAUCCUUUUCAUAGCUAUGUCUCCUUUGUAUUGUUCAAGCUGUUCUUCUUGUUGCUGUUGUUGGGCAUUUGUAAAUCAAAUUGCAUGGAAAACAAAGUGACCAAGGAUGUUGUUGUUGUCAUUGUUGUUGCCCUGGAACGAGGGCUGAAUACUGGGAGGGAUUGGGAGCUUUUUCAGCAUUGAACCGAAGAGUUGCUAGAGCCCACCAGAGAUUCGAGAAAGAUAGAGAAUAUGCACGAGCGAGGAAGAGAGAGAGAAACAGAAAGCGUGACCGAGAGAGCAAUAGAGAUAGAGGAGAGAGGAAGACGAAGACAAAGCGACUUGUUUGGUGGGGCCACUCAACACGUUUCUGACUGUGCACGGCUAGUGUAGUCUCUGUGUGUGUAUUAGUGUGUGUCUGUGUGUGUGUGUGUGCUUAAGCAUGCGACCGCACUUGUGCCACGUACAACAAAAAAUACGAAACAAAACAAGUAAGAACGCUUAAAGUCACCAAAGUGCCUCGAUUAGGCAAAUACCCUGUAACUAAAUUCGAGAAAAAGGUUAGGAAAAAUCGACAUGCUCAACUUAAAAAUCCAACUAAAUGUUUUUAGUUCUUAGUGAUUAUAAUUAUUUCAAAAUAUUAUCUUAUAAUGAGAAUUUAUUAUUUGGUAGAUUCUUAAUAAGAAGUUUAACACCAAAUCAAUAAUUAAACAUAAUAAUUAUUGUACUAUUGAUAUUAAAACAUAUUUUGUCUUUUAAAAAUAUUAUCCACAAUUCAACUAUUUUAAAACAAAGUGCAAUACAUUUAAGAAAUAUAUAAAGAGAUAAAGAUUUCUGACUAAAGACUUGUAUUCAACAAUAACUGAUAUACCCGUUUUGUGAAGCUCUGAAGGGUGCUGGGUAUACGAAAAGUUCAUUUGAACGCUUUUCUUUUAUGUUGUGAGAUACAGAUAUACAAAUUUUUAUGCUCGCCGCGCCACUCGAGCAUAUUUUCGUGUUCUCCUCCUGUUGCUGUUGCUGUUGCUUGUUGUUGUGUUUGGAUUGCAGCACUUGAAUUUGGUUUGGCGCGCUCCAAAAAUACCAGAAACCGUACCGUAACUCAACCAACUGAUUCCACUCAUCGUUUGUUUUAAUUGGGCAUUUUUAUGUAUUUAUUAAAUGCAAAUGGCAAAUUGGUGAGUCAAGAAGACAUCAGGAUGUCUGCGCACUUGACGCAUAACAAAUUUUAAUGGUCCCAAAAUUUAAUCCUAUGAUCCCAAUCCCAUGCCAUAUUCCUUGUCUUUCGCCUCUACUACAAUUUUUCUAGCAUUGAAAAAUAAA